RNAcentral lists this ribosomal RNA (497 nucleotides) under uncultured bacterium. Its description in RNAcentral is "partial 16S ribosomal RNA". It matches the Rfam family "Bacterial small subunit ribosomal RNA", at positions 30 to 522 of the family's 1533-position model. The record is from RNAcentral.
AUUGAACGCUGGCGGCAUGCCUUACACAUGCAAGUCGAACGGUUCAAGGUCUUCGGAUGCUGACGAGUGGCGAACGGGUGAGUAAUACAUCGGAACGUGCCUAGUAGUGGGGGAUAACUACUCGAAAGAGUGGCUAAUACCGCAUGAGAUCUACGGAUGAAAGCAGGGGAUCGCAAGACCUUGUGCUACUAGAGCGGCCGAUGGCAGAUUAGGUAGUUGGUGGGAUAAAAGCUUACCAAGCCGACGAUCUGUAGCUGGUCUGAGAGGACGAUCAGCCACACUGGGACUGAGACACGGCCCAGACUCCUACGGGAGGCAGCAGUGGGGAAUUUUGGACAAUGGGCGCAAGCCUGAUCCAGCAAUGCCGCGUGCAGGAUGAAGGCCUUCGGGUUGUAAACUGCUUUUGUACGGAACGAAAAGCCCCGGGUUAAUACCCUGGGGUCAUGACGGUACCGUAAGAAUAAGCACCGGCUAACUACGUGCCAGCCGCCGCAGAA